RNAcentral lists this microRNA precursor (98 nucleotides) under Callithrix jacchus (white-tufted-ear marmoset). RNAcentral's name for it is "mir-544 microRNA precursor family". It matches the Rfam family "mir-544 microRNA precursor family". The record is from Rfam by way of RNAcentral. Lineage: Eukaryota; Metazoa; Chordata; Mammalia; Primates; Cebidae.
AUCAUCUGGGGAUCUUGUGAAAAUGCAGAUUCAGAGUCUAGAGUACUGGGGAGGGAGCUGUGAUUCUGCAUUUCUAGCAAGUUCUUAGGUGUUGCUGA